Molecule: long non-coding RNA, 1800 nt
Organism: Maniola jurtina (meadow brown)
Lineage: Eukaryota; Metazoa; Arthropoda; Insecta; Lepidoptera; Nymphalidae
Exons: 2
Source: RefSeq, a predicted model, not a curated record
ACAUAGAUAUUAGUUUCUAGAAUAUGUCUGCAAAAUUUCAUGGACUUUGGUUGCUUAGUAUUCAAAUGAAUAGGAACUACGUUUGUAUGAAGCGAGUGACGGAGAGACCCCUCUUAAUCAUGCGGGUUGUUCGCAUCGCAUGUUCUUUCGAGCGAUUGCAAAUAAGGUCGCCGUCUAAAGGUAAUUUUACCGUCCUAAAUGAGUAACGUCCUGAGCCUUUGUUUACAUUCGGGUGUUGGUCUAAUCUCCAGUUACAUGACAGGCGGUUAAACUUACAUUACGGUUAGCGUUACCAUCAGUAAAAAGCAAAGUGGGUUGCACAAGUCAAUAGGGUGCAUAAGUUCUUAACUUAGAACUGAAAUGUUACUUUUAAUCCUGUCUCGUGCAAUAUUACUUUUCUGUUGUCCAUAUAAAUAGCUGUUAACUGCAAAAAUAGUUUAGAGUUUUCGCCAAUAAUAAGGGAACUUAAAAUAUUGACUAAAAACUGUCUGAUUAAAACAUUCUAUUUAAAAACAUGAGUUUUUAAAAAUUCUCACGUUUUUUGGAUGUACGAGUACUUUUUGCAGAUAACAGCUAUUUAAAAUAUAGUCAUAGGGCGGCGGUUUUAUUGACAGUCGAAAUUUAACUGUGAAUAUACGUAAUUUUAACUUCCUGACAUUCAACUGGACCUAAGCCUUAUAAUAGGUAUUAUUCAAUAAAUAAAUCAAAUAAUCACACAUUAUAGCUUGGUCAUCCGAUCUAGAAAACAUUCCUACAGUCUAGGGUAUUAACAAAAUAAACUACAAAACCCAGAGAGAUGUCAUAGUAUUACUACUUCUAGAGGUAUUACUAGGUUGCAAAUUGCAAAAAACAGGAAUAUUUUCAUCGCAUUAAAGGUGUUUUACAUUGGUGAAUCAAAAAAUCAUUAUUCUCUUUAUCUGACACUUAUUAUGCAAUUCAUUAUUGGGGCCUGUUUUUAAUGACUAUUAUAACUAGGUACAUUUCAUGUAAGUUUGAUGUGUGAUCUUUCCUGCCGGGUACUGUUAAGUGAUUGAGUUAUUAUCAACGGUAUAUGUGACACAUGGCGUCGAUUCUGAUAUCUUUCCCUAAACUAAAUUAAGAGUAUCUGCAUCUUUAUCUUUUAAAUAUUCCUAAAAAAGGACAGCAAAUGAAUUCUAAAUUAACAACUUAAAAUUUAAAUACUGUGCAAGACUGGCACCUUAAAUCACAGGUUUGGCAAUUUUAAUUUAAAAUAAAUAAAAAAUGAGAAAAAGAUGCAAAUACUCCAAAAUUUAGUUGCCAUCAGAAUUACCACUAACAUUUAGUAAUCUAAGUUUAAGAUAUUACUAAGUUGUCUUUAUGCACAAAUAACUAAGUAUAUUUAAGAAGUAGGUAUUCAAUUAUGUCACUAAAUUAGAUUUACGGCCAUGUUAUUAACUUGCUUUGUAUACUUGGACUUAUUUUAAAUGCAAAAUAGAUCCAAAAUAGAUAGAAAAUGAAUAUUUUGUGGAGUUUGAUUCAAUUUCACAUGAUUAAGUACGUCAAUUACAAUUUUUUUAAUUAGUUUAUGCAAUAAACAUUCAUAAACAUUGAGAUCAGAACCAUAGUUCGCGAAGGUCGAUGGCAAUCGGGGUGCCCUCCCGCCUUGACGAUUGUCAAGUCGACCUGUCACGAACUACAGUUUUCUAUCGCACUUGGUAAUCUUGCUUUAGUGAUAUCAAAUUUGGGAAAACAGGCCAAAAAUUUAGUUUCCGCUUUUCGAAACUGUGUACAUCUAGGGCCAAUAGAAAUGCCAAAUCUAUUAAAUUAUUUUUAAUCCUG